UCCCUUCAGAGCAAUGGGUAGCUCAUCGGACUUCUAAUCCAAAGGUCAUGUGUUCGAAUACCACGUAAUUUCUGAGAAA
Trichonephila inaurata madagascariensis is the source of this 79-nucleotide non-coding RNA. The record is from the annotation of a GenBank genome assembly. Lineage: Eukaryota; Metazoa; Arthropoda; Arachnida; Araneae; Nephilidae.